UACGUAGGUGGCAAGCGUUGUCCGGAAUUAUUGGGCGUAAAGCGCGCGCAGGUGGGAUAUUAAGUCUGGUGUUAAAGUUCGGGGCUCAACCCCGUGAAGCAUUUGGAAACUGAUAUUCUUGAGUGCAGGAGAGGAAAGUGGAAUUCCUAGUGUAGCGGUGAAAUGCGUAGAUAUUAGGAGGAACACCAGUGGCGAAGGCGACUUUCUGGACUGUGUCUGACACUGAGGCGCGAAAGCCAGGGUAGUGAACGGG
This 253-nucleotide ribosomal RNA is filed under the name Pelosinus sp. RNAcentral's name for it is "partial 16S ribosomal RNA". It matches the Rfam family "Bacterial small subunit ribosomal RNA", at positions 524 to 776 of the family's 1533-position model. The record is from RNAcentral. RNAcentral also lists the same sequence under 1 other name. Lineage: Bacteria; Bacillati; Bacillota; Negativicutes; Selenomonadales; Sporomusaceae.